Molecule: ribosomal RNA, 460 nt
Filed under: uncultured bacterium
Lineage: Bacteria
Description: partial 16S ribosomal RNA
Rfam family: Bacterial small subunit ribosomal RNA
Source: RNAcentral
CCUACGGGGAGCAGCAGUGAGGAAUAUUGGUCAAUGGACGCAAGUCUGAACCAGCCAUGCCGCGUGCAGGAUGACGGCUCUAUGAGUUGUAAACUGCUUUUGUACGAGGGUAAACCCCGAUACGUGUAUCGGGUUGAAAGUAUCGUACGAAUAAGGAUCGGCUAACUCCGUGCCAGCAGCCGCGGUAAUACGGAGGAUCCGAGCGUUAUCCGGAUUUAUUGGGUUUAAAGGGUGCGUAGGCGGUUUGAUAAGUUAGAGGUGAAAUGUCGGGGCUCAACCCCGAAACUGCCUCUAAUACUGUUUGACUAGAGAAUAGUUGCGGUAGGCGGAAUGUAUGGUGUAGCUGUGAAAUGCUUAGAGAUCAUACAGAACACCGAUUGCGAAGGCAGCUUACCAAACUAUAUCUGACGUUGAGGCACGAAAGCGUGGGUAGCAAACAGGAUUAGAUACCCUGGUAGUC